UACGGAGGAUCCGAGCGUUAUCCGGAUUUAUUGGGUUUAAAGGGUGCGCAGGCGGGAGAUUAAGUCGGCGGUGAAAUUUUGCAGCUCAACUGUAAAAGUGCCUUCGAAACUCGUUUCCUUGAGUGUGGAUGAAGUAGGCGGAAUUUGUGGUGUAGCGGUGAAAUGCAUAGAUAUCACGAGGAACUCCGAUUGCGCAGGCAGCUUACUAAACCAUAACUGACGCUCAGGCACGAAGGCGUGGGGAUCAAACAGGAUUAGAUACCCUGGUA
Molecule: ribosomal RNA, 269 nt
Filed under: uncultured prokaryote
Description: partial 16S ribosomal RNA
Rfam family: Bacterial small subunit ribosomal RNA
Source: RNAcentral